CAGACAUUCUCUCCUCUGAAUUGGAGUGAUGGCGAUAAAGACACAAAUGGGAUCCUUCUCUCUCUCAGGGUCCCCCCGCCCUCCCCCAGCAUGGGGCCCGGCAGCCACACCUUGAAUCUGUGGGUCACUCAGCACCUAUGGCACAGUGCUAAGUACAACACCCAGCACCUUACUCAAGUCACCUUUGCCAGCGGCAUGCCUCCCAGUCCCUCCCUUGGGAGCACGCCUUGGCAAUGGCGUGACUGGGUGGUGAAGAACCUGGGGAUUGUGCAACCUUGCGAGGUUGUGUAACUACCACGGCUGCACUUUUUGCACAGUCGGCUAGAGUCUGCAGCGAGGUUCCCGCGAAGAAAAAGUAUGGGCAGAAGCUUUCUGAUUGUGAUUUACCAAGAAGCGGCACAGUCUCUGCAGGAAAUAUGUCAGCUGCCCCAUUGUCCUCUUAUUUAAAGUAGGAUAGACACCAAGCUUGAGAAAACGUGAACAGGAGGACUCAGAGGCAGAAAAUGCGAGCAACCAAGUCAGUCUCAGUCAUGACUCACAAGCUCCAACUUCACUUAUGGAGCCAUCCAGUGAAAUCAAAGUGAUGGUGAGAACAGGGAGCAGCAAUGAUCAGAGGGAGCCAAAAGAGCUCUGAUGAGAGGAACCAUGUCAUUUUCUCAGCCAUUAUUUUUGGUGUCUCCCUAAAGACCAUUUACUUGGAACUUAGACAGGAGACUAAAGUCUGUGAUCUCUGGGUUUGCUUAGCUCUGUAGACAGCUGGUAUAUCACAUACAAAAUAUUACCCCACGCUCUCAUAGUGUGAUGAGUUGUUAAUAAAACCAUUCCAAAUUU
Long non-coding RNA from Cebus imitator (Panamanian white-faced capuchin), 831 nucleotides. RefSeq lists it as uncharacterized. The record is from RefSeq and is a predicted model, not a curated record. The transcript is spliced from 2 exons. NCBI's taxonomy places the organism in Eukaryota, Metazoa, Chordata, Mammalia, Primates, Cebidae.